RNAcentral lists this ribosomal RNA (243 nucleotides) under uncultured bacterium. RNAcentral's name for it is "partial 16S ribosomal RNA". It matches the Rfam family "Bacterial small subunit ribosomal RNA", at positions 88 to 334 of the family's 1533-position model. The record is from RNAcentral.
CUGACGAGCGGCGGACGGGUGAGUAACGCGUGGGAAUCUGCCCAUUAGUGGGGGACAACUUCGGGAAACCGGAGCUAAUACCGCAUACGCCCUACGGGGGAAAGCAGGGGAUCUUCGGACCUUGCGCUAAUGGAUGAGCCCGCGUCGGAUUAGCUUGUUGGUGGGGUAACGGCCUACCAAGGCGACGAUCCGUAGCUGGUCUGAGAGGACGAUCAGCCACACUGGGACUGAGACAUGGCCCAG